Molecule: ribosomal RNA, 1390 nt
Filed under: Escherichia coli
Lineage: Bacteria; Pseudomonadati; Pseudomonadota; Gammaproteobacteria; Enterobacterales; Enterobacteriaceae
Description: partial 23S ribosomal RNA
Rfam family: Bacterial large subunit ribosomal RNA
Source: RNAcentral
GGCACUACGGUGCUGAAGCAACAAAUGCCCUGCUUCCAGGAAAAGCCUCUAAGCAUCAGGUAACAUCAAAUCGUACCCCAAACCGACACAGGUGGUCAGGUAGAGAAUACCAAGGCGCUUGAGAGAACUCGGGUGAAGGAACUAGGCAAAAUGGUGCCGUAACUUCGGGAGAAGGCACGCUGAUAUGUAGGUGAAGCGACUUGCUCGUGGAGCUGAAAUCAGUCGAAGAUACCAGCUGGCUGCAACUGUUUAUUAAAAACACAGCACUGUGCAAACACGAAAGUGGACGUAUACGGUGUGACGCCUGCCCGGUGCCGGAAGGUUAAUUGAUGGGGUUAGCGGUAACGCGAAGCUCUUGAUCGAAGCCCCGGUAAACGGCGGCCGUAACUAUAACGGUCCUAAGGUAGCGAAAUUCCUUGUCGGGUAAGUUCCGACCUGCACGAAUGGCGUAAUGAUGGCCAGGCUGUCUCCACCCGAGACUCAGUGAAAUUGAACUCGCUGUGAAGAUGCAGUGUACCCGCGGCAAGACGGAAAGACCCCGUGAACCUUUACUAUAGCUUGACACUGAACAUUGAGCCUUGAUGUGUAGGAUAGGUGGGAGGCUUUGAAGUGUGGACGCCAGUCUGCAUGGAGCCGACCUUGAAAUACCACCCUUUAAUGUUUGAUGUUCUAACGUUGGCCCCUGAUCGGGGUUGCGGACAGUGUCUGGUGGGUAGUUUGACUGGGGCGGUCUCCUCCUAAAGAGUAACGGAGGAGCACGAAGGUUGGCUAAUCCUGGUCGGACAUCAGGAGGUUAGUGCAAUGGCAUAAGCCAGCUUGACUGCGAGCGUGACGGCGCGAGCAGGUGCGAAAGCAGGUCAUAGUGAUCCGGUGGUUCUGAAUGGAAGGGCCAUCGCUCAACGGAUAAAAGGUACUCCGGGGAUAACAGGCUGAUACCGCCCAAGAGUUCAUAUCGACGGCGGUGUUUGGCACCUCGAUGUCGGCUCAUCACAUCCUGGGGCUGAAGUAGGUCCCAAGGGUAUGGCUGUUCGCCAUUUAAAGUGGUACGCGAGCUGGGUUUAGAACGUCGUGAGACAGUUCGGUCCCUAUCUGCCGUGGGCGCUGGAGAACUGAGGGGGGCUGCUCCUAGUACGAGAGGACCGGAGUGGACGCAUCACUGGUGUUCGGGUUGUCAUGCCAAUGGCACUGCCCGGUAGCUAAAUGCGGAAGAGAUAAGUGCUGAAAGCAUCUAAGCACGAAACUUGCCCCGAGAUGAGUUCUCCCUGACUCCUUGAGAGUCCUGAAGGAACGUUGAAGACGACGACGUUGAUAGGCCGGGUGUGUAAGCGCAGCGAUGCGUUGAGCUAACCGGUACUAAUGAACCGUGAGGCUUAACCUUACAACGCCGAAG